This 490-nucleotide ribosomal RNA is filed under the name uncultured bacterium. RNAcentral describes it as "partial 16S ribosomal RNA". It matches the Rfam family "Bacterial small subunit ribosomal RNA", at positions 30 to 507 of the family's 1533-position model. The record is from RNAcentral.
AUUGAACGCUGGCGGCAGGCCUAACACAUGCAAGUCGAACGGUAACAGGAAGAAGCUUGCUUCUUUGCUGCCGAGUGGCGGACGGGUGAGUAAUGUCUGGGAAACUGCCUGAUGGAGGGGGAUAACUACUGGAAACGGUAGCUAAUACCGCAUAACGUCGCAAGACCAAAGAGGGGGACCUUCGGGCCUCUUGCCAUCGGAUGUGCCCAGAUGGGAUUAGCUAGUAGGUGGGGUAACGGCUCACCUAGGCGACGAUCCCUAGCUGGUCUGAGAGGAUGACCAGCCACACUGGAACUGAGACACGGUCCAGACUCCUACGGGAGGCAGCAGUGGGGAAUAUUGCACAAUGGGCGCAAGCCUGAUGCAGCCAUGCCGCGUGUAUGAAGAAGGCCUUCGGGUUGUAAAGUACUUUCAGCGGGGAGGAAGGGAGUAAAGUUAAUACCUUUGCUCAUUGACGUUAGCCGCAGAAGAAGCACCGGCUAACUCCGUG